CCUUCCAGCCCAGUCAGUGCCCAGCCACCGGGGAGAGCAGACCUGCCUGAGGGAGCUCCUGAUGGAGGAACCGCUGGAGCCCCGGGCAGCUGCCUGGACUGGCCGGAGAGCACCCUACCCCGCUACUGGGAAGAGCUGCCGGAGCUUCCCUGCACCACCUACGACGAGGAGCCAGUAGGCGCUUCCCCGCUACAGUGCUGUUACCCCGAGGAACCCCCGGAGCACGAUUGGCCGGACGUCCCCGAGGAACUACCCGACCUACCCCCCAGCCCGGGUUGUGAGGAACCCAUGCAGUGGGACUUCCCGGGACCAGACUCCGCGGACCAGUGCAGAGACUGAGGGCCAAAUCCAACUUCUACUGAUGUCAACAGAAAAACUUCCAUUGACUUUAAAUGGAUCAGUAAUGAACUGGCGUAUGCUCUUAGAGCAUAUCAGGAUUAAGUCUAAAGAAGUCAAUGGAGCAACACCAGUCAAAACUGAAAUAAGAAAGAGAAGAAUCAGGCAAAUUGUUUUCUGGCAAAUGCUGUGGAUUAUCUGUUGGCUGGAGUUAUUGAAGAGCCUGAAAUAUUAAUGAGCAUUAGGGUUUGGAAAGCAAACUAAAUAAAAACACUUUACAUUUUGUAGCUUUGGUUGAUAAACAGAGAAUGAUCCCAUAAUUAAAGAUAUAUCAUAAUGCCCAGCAUAAAGGGACAAAGUUGAAAGCAUUAUGGCUGCACAUCAGAGUUUAUUUCCUGACUUAUACCCCAGUAACACAAAACCAUACACAAGUGGUCCUAUUGGAGUCCUUGGGACUCCUCACAGUGUGUAAAGUUGAGCCCCUGCUAAAGUCUUUGUAUGGUUACAGCUUGACUCCUUAACUUUGUGCUUUAACAUGUGUUAGUUAAUGUUUUAGCAUGUUGUUUUAUGCCUUUGUUGGGCAUUGUGAGUGCUGAGUGCCCUGACAAUCAGUGCUGGAAUACAUUUGUAUUCUUGAUAUACCAGGCAGCACGCUAGCUAUUGUAGUGUACUCAUCCUGCUGAUUUCUUAAAUUCUGUACUGUUAAAUAAUGCACAAUAACUAACAUAAAAUAAAAUAAAAUUUAAAAAAG
Molecule: long non-coding RNA, 1087 nt
Organism: Mauremys reevesii (Reeves's turtle)
Lineage: Eukaryota; Metazoa; Chordata; Testudines; Geoemydidae
Exons: 3
Source: RefSeq, a predicted model, not a curated record